CUUUGAGCGAUUCAACUUUCCAUGAAGCACACACCUCACUAUUCACAGGACUGCAAGGAGGACGAAAAUAAAAUAAAAUGCGCGACAGAUCAGCCAUGGACCAGUACCUCAUUUGAAGUGACCGGAGGGGCAGUCGAGCGAAGUCCUGUCUCAUCUUCAACACUUGGUUCAGCAGCAAGCCCUUCCAAGGCAGAAGGUUCUGCAGGAGGGAUUUCUACUGGGUUCUCUUGCAGCUGCUGUACCUUUUCUCUUGAAACUUUUGGUUUUGUCUUGGACGUUUUCUGCUUUGUAGCGAUAGGUCUCGUUUCAGCCUUUGCAGUGAUAGAUGCUACGGAGGGAGCUUUUGUGACCAAUCUCUGGCCGGGUUUGCUAGCAGUAACCCGAGGUUUAUUAUUUUCCGCACCUCUGUUUACCUUGGCUGGAUUAGUUGUGCGCCGUGGGCUCUCACAUGAGACGGAGCCAUCUGCAGAAGCAGCAGUGACAGAACUGGUUGGCUUGUGUCGGCCAAGCUUCGGUGACCUAGCACGUGUUGGUGCAAUCUGCAAAAGGCCACAAGUUUAUAUCAGGAUGCUAUGUUUACGAAUGUAG
This 588-nucleotide ribosomal RNA is filed under the name Triticum aestivum (bread wheat). RNAcentral describes it as "partial small subunit ribosomal RNA". The record is from RNAcentral. Lineage: Eukaryota; Viridiplantae; Streptophyta; Magnoliopsida; Poales; Poaceae.